GUGGGGAAUUUUGGACAAUGGGCGCAAGCCUGAUCCAGCAAUGCCGCGUGUGUGAAGAAGGCCUUCGGGUUGUAAACUGCUUUUGUACGGAACGAAAAGCCUCUGGUUAAUACCCGGGGGUCAUGACGGUACCGUAAGAAUAAGCACCGGCUAACUACGUGCCAGCAGCCGCGGUAAUACGUAGGGUGCGAGCGUUAAUCGGAAUUACUGGGCGUAAAGCGUGCGCAGGCGGUGAUGUAAGACAGUUGUGAAAUCCCCGGGCUCAACCUGGGAACUGCAUCUGUGACUGCAUUGCUGGAGUGCGGCAGAGGGGGAUGGAAUUCCGCGUGUAGCAGUGAAAUGCGUAGAUAUGCGGAGGAACACCGAUGGCGAAGGCAAUCCCCUGGGCCUGCACUGACGCUCAUGCACGAAAGCGUGGGGAGCAAACAGGAUUAGAUACCCGUGUAGUCC
Molecule: ribosomal RNA, 450 nt
Filed under: uncultured bacterium
Lineage: Bacteria
Description: partial 16S ribosomal RNA
Rfam family: Bacterial small subunit ribosomal RNA
Source: RNAcentral